RNAcentral lists this ribosomal RNA (403 nucleotides) under Mycobacterium sp. RNAcentral's name for it is "bacterial SSU rRNA". It matches the Rfam family "Bacterial small subunit ribosomal RNA", at positions 117 to 526 of the family's 1533-position model. The record is from RNAcentral. Lineage: Bacteria; Bacillati; Actinomycetota; Actinomycetes; Mycobacteriales; Mycobacteriaceae.
GUGGGUGAUCUGCCCUGCACUUCGGGAUAAGCCUGGGAAACUGGGUCUAAUACCGGAUAUGACCACAUGAUGCAUGUCGUGUGGUGGAAAGCUUUUGCGGUGUGGGAUGGGCCCGCGGCCUAUCAGCUUGUUGGUGGGGUCACGGCCUACCAAGGCGACGACGGGUAGCCGGCCUGAGAGGGUGACCGGCCACACUGGGACUGAGAUACGGCCCAGACUCCUACGGGAGGCAGCAGUGGGGAAUAUUGCACAAUGGGCGCAAGCCUGAUGCAGCGACGCCGCGUGAGGGACGACGGCCUUCGGGUUGUAAACCUCUUUCAGCACAGACUAAGCGCAAGUGACGGUAUGUGCAGAAGAAGGACCGGCCAACUACGUACCACCGCCCCCCCGCGUUAAAAAAAUC